RNAcentral lists this ribosomal RNA (980 nucleotides) under marine metagenome. Its description in RNAcentral is "bacterial SSU rRNA". It matches the Rfam family "Bacterial small subunit ribosomal RNA", at positions 529 to 1520 of the family's 1533-position model. The record is from RNAcentral.
AGGGACCUAGCGUAGUUCGGAAUUACUGGGCUUAAAGAGUUCGUAGGUGGUUGAAAAAGUUGGUGGUGAAAUCCCAGAGCUUAACUCUGGAACUGCCAUCAAAACUUUUCAGCUAGAGUUUGAUAGAGGAAAGUAGAAUUUCUAGUGUAGAGGUGAAAUUCGUAGAUAUUAGAAAGAAUUCCAAUUGCGAAGGCAGCUUUCUGGAUCAUUACUGACACUGAGGAACGAAAGCAUGGGUAGCGAAGAGGAUUAGAUACCCUCGUAGUCCAUGCCGUAAACGAUGUGUGUUAGACGUUGGAAAUUUAUUUUCAGUGUCGCAGCGAAAGCAAUAAACACACCGCCUGGGGAGUACGACCGCAAGGUUAAAACUCAAAUGAAUUGACGGGGACCCGCACAAGUAGUGGAGCAUGUGGUUUAAUUCGAAGAUACGCGCAGAACCUUACCAACACUUGACAUGUUCGUCGCGACUUUAAGAGAUUAAAGUUUUCGGUUCGGCCGGACGAAACACAGGUGCUGCAUGGCUGUCGUCAGCUCGUGUCGUGAGAUGUUGGGUUAAGUCCCGCAACGAGCGCAACCCUCACUUUUAGUUGCCAUCAUUUAGUUGGGCACUCUGAAAGAACUGCCAGUGAUAAGCUGGAGGAAGGUGGGGAUGACGUCAAGUCCUCAUGGCCCUUACGUGUUGGGCUACACACGUGCUACAAUGGUAUCUACAACAGGAAGCAAAACGGCGACGUUAAGCAAAUCCUUAAAAGAUACCUCAGUUCGGAUUGCACUCUGCAACUCGAGUGCAUGAAGCUGGAAUUACUAGUAAUCGUGGAUCAGCGUGCCACGGUGAAUGCGUUCCCGGGUCUUGUACACACCGCCCGUCACACCAUGGGAGUUGGUUCUACCUUAAGGCAAGGUUUAAAACCCUUGACCACGGUAUAGUCAGCGACUGGGGUGAAGUCGUAACAAGGUAGCCGUAGGGGAACCUGCGGCUG